This 301-nucleotide ribosomal RNA is filed under the name uncultured bacterium. RNAcentral's name for it is "partial 16S ribosomal RNA". It matches the Rfam family "Bacterial small subunit ribosomal RNA", at positions 509 to 807 of the family's 1533-position model. The record is from RNAcentral.
CAGCCGCCGCGGUAAUACGUAGGCGGCAAGCGUUGUCCGGAAUUAUUGGGCGUAAAGGGCUCGCAGGCGGUUUCUUAAGUCUGAUGUGAAAGCCCCCGGCUCAACCGGGGAGGGUCAUUGGAAACUGGGAAACUUGAGUGCAGAAGAGGAGAGUGGAAUUCCACGUGUAGCGGUGAAAUGCGUAGAGAUGUGGAGGAACACCAGUGGCGAAGGCGACUCUCUGGUCUGUAACUGACGCUGAGGAGCGAGAGCGUGGGGAGCGAACAGGAUUAGAUACCCGCGUAGUCCCUGUCUCUUAUAC